Molecule: long non-coding RNA, 756 nt
Organism: Raphanus sativus (radish)
Lineage: Eukaryota; Viridiplantae; Streptophyta; Magnoliopsida; Brassicales; Brassicaceae
Exons: 3
Source: RefSeq, a predicted model, not a curated record
CGCAGACGAGAUAAGAGACUCCAAGUUGCGAUUGGAGCACAUCAACAUGCUCAGUUUUGUUGCGGAUUCCGAAUACGGUAUACCGAGAAGGUGUCCGUGUGGUGGGAGGAUCAUUGAUGAGGUUAGGGGUAAGGAGGAGUACGACUCUCUUCCGGGGAAGCGCUUCUUCAGCUGCGCUAAGUACCAGGCAAGUAUUUGUUAUUUCUGUUAUUUCUUUUAGUUGAUAAAUGCACAGUUGAUGAUUUUUGUUUCUGUUUUAAACAAGGCUGAUGGCCUCCAUUAUCGUCAGCCUUGGGUCGCAGGUGUCCAGGAGGAGAUACAACGCCUGACUAGGCGUCUGGAGGAGGCGGAGCAGGUGAUCAAAGUCGUCCCGGAGCUCAAUCAACAGAUUGAUAGACUGGAGGGAGAUGUUUAUAACCUCACCGUGCAGGUAGCUCACCUGGAGAAGCUUUGCUUCGAAUAAAAAUCAAAGGUCACGGGUUCUACUUGUUUGCUUGCUCUACUGCUUUGCUGCUUCACGGGUUGUACUGGUUCUACUUGUUUGCUUGCUCUACUGCUUUGCUGCUUUCACGGGAUGUUGUAGUGUAGUUGUUUCAGUGUACUUGACUAGUGCAGUAUUUUGUUUGUCUCUGCACUUGUCAAAUUUGUAAUAUUUUCGACUUGUCUAUUUUCCCCUCACGGGUUAUGUAUUAACAAACUCUUGUACUUGUCUAUUUUCCCCUCAUGGGUUAUGGAUAAGAAUCUCUAUAAAUUAAG